RNAcentral lists this ribosomal RNA (253 nucleotides) under uncultured bacterium. RNAcentral's name for it is "partial 16S ribosomal RNA". It matches the Rfam family "Bacterial small subunit ribosomal RNA", at positions 524 to 776 of the family's 1533-position model. The record is from RNAcentral.
GACGGAGGAUGCAAGUGUUAUCCGGAAUCACUGGGCGUAAAGCGUCUGUAGGUGGUUCGACACGUCCACUGUUAAAAAUUGAAGCUUAACUUCAAAUAUGCCGUGGAAACUUUCAAACUAGAGUGUGGAAGGGGUAGAGGGAAUUUCCAGUGGAGCGGUGAAAUGCGUAGAUAUCGGGAGGAACACCAGAGGCGAAGGCGGCCACCUGGACAGAGACUGACGCUGAGACGCGAAAGCGUGGGGAGCAACCAGG